This 722-nucleotide ribosomal RNA is filed under the name uncultured bacterium. RNAcentral describes it as "bacterial SSU rRNA". It matches the Rfam family "Bacterial small subunit ribosomal RNA", at positions 56 to 789 of the family's 1533-position model. The record is from RNAcentral.
UGCAAGUCGAACGGUGAACACGGAGCUUGCUCUGUGGGAUCAGUGGCGAACGGGUGAGUAACACGUGAGCAACCUGCCCCUGACUCUGGGAUAAGCGCUGGAAACGGCGUCUAAUACUGGAUAUGUGACGUGAUCGCAUGGUCUGCGUCUGGAAAGAAUUUCGGUUGGGGAUGGGCUCGCGGCCUAUCAGCUUGUUGGUGAGGUAAUGGCUCACCAAGGCGUCGACGGGUAGCCGGCCUGAGAGGGUGACCGGCCACACUGGGACUGAGACACGGCCCAGACUCCUACGGGAGGCAGCAGUGGGGAAUAUUGCACAAUGGGCGCAAGCCUGAUGCAGCAACGCCGCGUGAGGGACGACGGCCUUCGGGUUGUAAACCUCUUUUAGCAGGGAAGAAGCGAAAGUGACGGUACCUGCAGAAAAAGCGCCGGCUAACUACGUGCCAGCAGCCGCGGUAAUACGUAGGGCGCAAGCGUUAUCCGGAAUUAUUGGGCGUAAAGAGCUCGUAGGCGGUUUGUCGCGUCUGCUGUGAAAUCCGGAGGCUCAACCUCCGGCCUGCAGUGGGUACGGGCAGACUAGAGUGCGGUAGGGGAGAUUGGAAUUCCUGGUGUAGCGGUGGAAUGCGCAGAUAUCAGGAGGAACACCGAUGGCGAAGGCAGAUCUCUGGGCCGUAACUGACGCUGAGGAGCGAAAGGGUGGGGAGCAAACAGGCUUAGAUACCCUG